RNAcentral lists this ribosomal RNA (491 nucleotides) under uncultured bacterium. Its description in RNAcentral is "bacterial SSU rRNA". It matches the Rfam family "Bacterial small subunit ribosomal RNA", at positions 381 to 862 of the family's 1533-position model. The record is from RNAcentral.
CGCAGCUGAUCUUAUGCCGGUGUGUGAAGAAGCUGCGGGUUGUAAGCACUUAAGGUGGAAAGAAGGCCUGAGGGCGAAUACCCCUUGGGAUUGACGUUACCACCAGAAAUAGAGCGACCGNNGCUAACUACCGUAGCCAGACAGCCGCGGUAAUACGGAGGGUGCAAGCGUUAAUCGGAAUUACUGGGCGUAAAGCGCGCGUAGGCGGUUCACUCAGUCUGCUGUGAAAGCCCCGGGCUUAACCUGGGAACGGCAGUGGAUACUGCUGGGCUAGAGUAUGGUAGAGGGGAGUGGAAUUUCCGGUGUAGCAGUGAAAUGCGUAGAGAUCGGAAGGAACACCAGUGGCGAAGGCGGCUCUCUGGACCAAUACUGACGCUGAGGUGCGAAAGCGUGGGGAGCAACCAGGAUUAGAUACCCUGGUAGUCCACGCCCUAAACGAUGAGAACUAGCCGUUCGGCUCUUCGGAGCUGAGUGGCGCAGCUACCGCGCUA